This 253-nucleotide ribosomal RNA is filed under the name uncultured bacterium. Its description in RNAcentral is "partial 16S ribosomal RNA". It matches the Rfam family "Bacterial small subunit ribosomal RNA", at positions 524 to 776 of the family's 1533-position model. The record is from RNAcentral.
UACGUAGGGGGCGAGCGUUGUCCGGAUUUAUUGGGCGUAAAGGGCGUGUAGGCGGCUUCAUAAGUCAGAGGUGAAACCUUGGGGCUCAACCCCAAGCCUGCCUCUGAAACUGCGAAGCUUGAGUGCUCUAGAGGGUAGUGGAAUUGCCGGUGUAGCAGUGAAAUGCGUAGAGAUCGGCAGGAACACCAGUGGCGAAGGCGACUACCUGGGGAGUAACUGACGCUGAGGCGCGAAAGCUGGGGGAGCAAACGGG